GUCAAAACUUUAGCACCGGAAGUCCCACAGGCAGCAUUGCGUGCACUGGAAAGAAAAGGGAAGAGAAAGGAACGAACAUUUGCAUUAAAUUUCCAAACAAAAACAGAUGACGAAGUAGGAAGACUUACUAAGAUUAGCCAACUGUAACCGCGCAAUAUUGUGUUCUCCCUAUUUGUUGUUAUAAAUGACAUUCUCUCGAGAAAGAAAUAGCUAAAUUACAUCCUUGCCGACCAUACUAAUGAGCUCUCCCUUUGCCGCUUCCAUCACUACUUUAAAGUCUAUCUGUUGAUACCUUCCCCUAAAAUCCAGCCAGGAAAUUUGAGAUCAUAUAAAUGAAAAGACAGUAUAAUCCACACAAUUUCAGCUUAUUUUUUAAUCUAUGAUCCAAUGAUCCCUACAAUACAUGCAUCAGUGUCGACCUCUGAGAGAGAUACCAUAUACAGAGCAGUCAACCAUACGAGUGGAUUCUUGAAAAAUGUCUCAUAUUUUACAACAUUUCUCGAUUUUAAAGAAUCAUUUAAACCCUCUAUUUCAUGCAAAGAUAAUAUCACUGCAUCACGUUUUUCAAG
This 569-nucleotide long non-coding RNA is filed under the name Olea europaea subsp. europaea. Lineage: Eukaryota; Viridiplantae; Streptophyta; Magnoliopsida; Lamiales; Oleaceae. The record is from RNAcentral.